RNAcentral lists this ribosomal RNA (496 nucleotides) under uncultured bacterium. Its description in RNAcentral is "partial 16S ribosomal RNA". It matches the Rfam family "Bacterial small subunit ribosomal RNA", at positions 29 to 507 of the family's 1533-position model. The record is from RNAcentral.
ACGAACGCUGGCGGCGUGCCUAAUACAUGCAAGUUGAGCGCUGAAGGUUGGUACUUGUACCAACUGGAUGAGCAGCGAACGGGUGAGUAACGCGCGGGGAAUCUGCCUUUGAGCGGGGGACAACAUUUGGAAACGAAUGCUAAUACCGCAUAAAAACUUUAAACACAAGUUUUAAGUUUGAAAGAUGCAAUUGCAUCACUCAAAGAUGAUCCCGCGUUGUAUUAGCUAGUUGGUGAGGUAAAGGCUCACCAAGGCGAUGAUACAUGGCCGACCUGAGAGGGUGAUCGGCCACAUUGGGACUGAGACACGGCCCAAACUCCUACGGGAGGCAGCAGUAGGGAAUCGUCGGCAAUGGACGAAAGUCUGACCGAGCAACGCCGCGGGAGUGAAGAAGGUUGUCGGAUCGUAAAACUCGGUUGGUAGAGAAGAACGUUGGUGAGAGUGGAAAGCUCAUCAAGUGACGGUAACUACCCAGAAAGGGACGGCUAACUACGUG